UGUGAGAGGAAAGAGGAGACCGCCAGGGCAGCAGCUGCGACCGGUGACGGCAGGACGAGGAGGCAGAGCCGCCUGUUAGAGGGCUGCACCGACGACAUUCUCGAUUGCUUGCUAAACGACUGU
Long non-coding RNA from Brachypodium distachyon (stiff brome), 123 nucleotides. RefSeq lists it as uncharacterized. Lineage: Eukaryota; Viridiplantae; Streptophyta; Magnoliopsida; Poales; Poaceae. The record is from RefSeq and is a predicted model, not a curated record. The transcript is spliced from 2 exons.